Molecule: unclassified non-coding RNA, 240 nt
Filed under: soil metagenome
Description: partial contains 5.8S ribosomal RNA, internal transcribed spacer 2, and large subunit ribosomal RNA
Source: RNAcentral
AACUGAUACUACCUGCGGGAACCUGCGGAAGGAUCAUUACCACGCGAUCCAAAUCCACAUCCCAAUUGUAUCCUUGGUUGGUGUUAAAGCCGCCGAGGAUGCAGUGUGAACUUGAGUUGUUUCAACUCACAGCGCGCGCCUCGACAUUCCAGGCCGUGGGGAGGCACAGCGGCUUCGUCCGCAGUGUCUCUGUCGAGGUUUUAUCAGUCGCGCUUUACAAAUCCCCAAACCUCACGCGCC